AUUGAACGCUGGCGGCAUGCUUUACACAUGCAAGUCGAACGGCAACGAGGAGAAGCUUGCUUCUCUGUCGGCGAGUGGCGAACGGGUGAGUAUAGCAUCGGAACGUGCCAAGUAGUGGGGGAUAACCAAACGAAAGUUUGGCUAAUACCGCGUAAGCUCCAAGGAGGAAAGUAGGGGACCUAAAUAAGGCCUUACGCUAUUUGAUCGGCCGAUGUCGGAUUAGCUAGUUGGUGGGGUAAUGGCUCACCAAGGCAAUGAUCCGUAGCGGGUCUGAGAGGACGAUCCGCCACACUGGGACUGAGACACGGCCCAGACUCCUACGGGAGGCAGCAGUGGGGAAUUUUGGACAAUGGGGGAAACCCUGAUCCAGCCAUGCCGCGUGUAUGAAGAAGGCCUUAGGGUUGUAAUGUACUUUUGUUAGGGAAGAAAAGCUAGUUUUUAAUAAAAAUUAGUGAUGACGGUACCUAAAGAAUAAGCACCGGCUAACUACGUG
RNAcentral lists this ribosomal RNA (493 nucleotides) under uncultured bacterium. Its description in RNAcentral is "partial 16S ribosomal RNA". It matches the Rfam family "Bacterial small subunit ribosomal RNA", at positions 30 to 507 of the family's 1533-position model. The record is from RNAcentral.